Molecule: long non-coding RNA, 465 nt
Organism: Saccostrea cuccullata (small rock oyster)
Lineage: Eukaryota; Metazoa; Mollusca; Bivalvia; Ostreida; Ostreidae
Exons: 4
Source: RefSeq, a predicted model, not a curated record
CACCGCGCCGAAAUUUAAAUUUUUGGUGGGUUACACGCAGCCAUGUUGAUGUUGUACAGAAGGAAAGUUCGGAAGAGAGUGUCGCGAAAAGGAGAAUCAUGACUAGCUUUGGAUGGAAUUUCUGUUUUGACAGAGAUGAAGACAUUUUACGACCCGGUACUGCGUUGCAUGCAGUGGACUGUGCCUGAGACGAUUCCCAUAGCGCCGGCGAAUAGUCAGCUUGUAUAAAUGGAAUCUGAAUGCUCACAAGAAGGACAAAUGCAGUAUGGAAAUUAACACAAAGAAAUUGUGCCAGAAAAGUAAGUGUCUACGGGAACAAUCAACAUCGAACUUUCUGAGCCUUCCUACUUAAACUAAAGUGAAUUCAUUUGUGAAUUUCAUGGGAUAUCAGUGAGGAAGUGAUUCAAGCAGACACUUGAGAAAUUUCGGAUCUAACUUAUAAAUUAGGAUCUUUGGCAUAUUCGG